RNAcentral lists this ribosomal RNA (468 nucleotides) under uncultured bacterium. RNAcentral describes it as "partial 16S ribosomal RNA". It matches the Rfam family "Bacterial small subunit ribosomal RNA", at positions 28 to 507 of the family's 1533-position model. The record is from RNAcentral.
GACGAACGCUGGCGGCGUGCUUAACACAUGCAAGUCGAACGGAAAGGCCCUGCUUUUGUGGGGUGCUCGAGUGGCGAACGGGUGAGUAACACGUGAGUAACCUGCCCUUGACUUUGGGAUAACUUCAGGAAACUGGGGCUAAUACCGGAUAGGAGCUCCUGCUGCAUGGUGGGGGUUGGAAAGUUUCGGCGGUUGGGGAUGGACUCGCGGCUUAUCAGCUUGUUGGUGGGGUAGUGGCUUACCAAGGCUUUGACGGGUAGCCGGCCUGAGAGGGUGACCGGCCACAUUGGGACUGAGAUACGGCCCAGACUCCUACGGGAGGCAGCAGUGGGGAAUAUUGCAAAAUGGGCGGAAGCCUGAUGCAGCAACGCCGCGUGCGGGAUGACGGCCUUCGGGUUGUAAACCGCUUUCGCCUGUGACGAAGAGUGAGUGACGGUAAUGGGUAAAGAAGCACCGGCUAACUACGUG